AAGGGAUCAAGCCACACAUAGUUCUUCCUUGAAACCCAAUUCCACACAUAGGCAAUACCUUAUUUCAUUUCUCUGUAUUUCACAUAAUCUCCGAAUACGCCGGCACAACUAACGCCACUUAUGGGGCUUGUCAACACCCUGGAUAACCUAUGCCACGUGCGACCAUACCAUACUAUCACAACAUCUCCACAUACGCCGGUACAACCAACGCCACGUAUGGGGCCUGUCUCAACGCCG
Molecule: long non-coding RNA, 237 nt
Filed under: Prunus persica (peach)
Lineage: Eukaryota; Viridiplantae; Streptophyta; Magnoliopsida; Rosales; Rosaceae
Description: long non-coding RNA (PPER_LNC002005)
Source: RNAcentral